AGAGGUUAAGUGUUUGGCUGCUAACCAAAAGGUUGGUGGUUCAAAACCACUAGCUUCUC
RNAcentral lists this transfer RNA (59 nucleotides) under Loxodonta africana (African savanna elephant). It matches the Rfam family "tRNA". Rfam says of the family: Transfer RNA (tRNA) molecules are approximately 80 nucleotides in length. The record is from Rfam by way of RNAcentral. Lineage: Eukaryota; Metazoa; Chordata; Mammalia; Proboscidea; Elephantidae.